RNAcentral lists this ribosomal RNA (278 nucleotides) under uncultured bacterium. RNAcentral describes it as "partial 16S ribosomal RNA". It matches the Rfam family "Bacterial small subunit ribosomal RNA", at positions 28 to 332 of the family's 1533-position model. The record is from RNAcentral.
GAUAAACGCUGGCGGCGUGCCUAACACAUGCAAGUCGAACGCCCUUACGCAAGUAAGGAGUGGCGGACGGGUGAGGAACACGUGGGUGAUCUGCCUUGAGGUGAGGAAUACCGGCGAGAAAUCGCCGACAAUACCGCAUACGUUCGCAAGAACAAAGUCGCAAGACGCCUUGAGAUGAGCCUGCGUCCGAUUAGCUAGUUGGUGGGAAAGCCUACCAAGGCAGCGAUCGGUAGCUGGUCUGAGAGGACGAUCAGCCACACUGGGAUUGAGAACGGCCC